GUCUCCAUAGCGACAAGAACUCUGCCUCUUGUGUCUGAGAUACGCUGUUGACUGGAUCUUACAUCCAAGGUUUACUCUGCUUUUCAUUCCCUCUCCUCUGUACAGAAGUCUCCCCAUCGCCACCAGCAUUCCAGUUGGACCUCAGGAGCCUAAAGUAUUUCUGUUCAGGUAUGGGCACCUCAUACUGAUGGCGAGGCGUGUAUAUCUGUAUUUGAGGACAGAAAGCAGCCUACAAGUCCACAUGGAUAAGAGUACUUAGCAGCUGCAAGAAUCUGGCCACCUACUGAUUUAAUUAUCUCACCCAUGCAACAUCGGUUUCUGGAAAGCAAAUCUAAUGUCCCUUUGCAGAGCUAAACCUAGUGAGGAAGCCUCAAGUAAGUGCGGUGUAAAUAGUUCGUGAUGUUUCUGCCGUAAAUUACCUAGAAGACAUGGUGUCCAGGCGAUCACAAGAUAUAAGAGAUUCAAGAACACUCAGGAAAUGAAAGCAAGCCCAAAACCGACAUUUUCGGAACAAGAAGAACUGGCCUGGAGAAUGUUCCAUUAAUAGACUCCCUUUCUGUGGCCAGUUACCUAAGUGGGUAAUAUCUCUAAUUCAUGGCUUCUAAAUAUGGGGUCCUUGGAUCCCUAAAAUCCAUGAAAUGGUAAGCAAAAUUGUGUGUAUAUGUAUUUAUGUGCAUUUUCUUGGGGAGAAAAUGACUCUCCUCAGAUUUUCGAAAAUAAUUACUAAAUUCAAAAAGGCCUCGAAUAAUGGGGUUUAGUUUCUAGCUAGCAAUUUACACGUGUA
RNAcentral lists this long non-coding RNA (784 nucleotides) under Felis catus (domestic cat). Its description in RNAcentral is "lncRNA (ENSFCAG00000041453.2)". The record is from RNAcentral. Lineage: Eukaryota; Metazoa; Chordata; Mammalia; Carnivora; Felidae.